GGGGUGUGUGUGUGUGUGUGUGUGUGCGUGCGCGCGCGUGUGUUCCUUCUUUCCACUCCUGAUCUCCUCCAUCCACCCCCGCGGCCCCGAGCCAUCUCAGGAAAAUGCCAGACUCUGCCUCCCCUGUACAACUCUGGGGGCGCGCCCACGGACCUCCUUUCCGUCCACGCACCUGCCCGCCGGACGUCCAACCAUUUUGUGGAGCGCAAACCUGAGACCUGGAAGCUCUUCCCCCAUCCCAGAGACUAAGGCCUGGAAAAGAACGUGAUCACGAUACCCUUACCCCACCUUACCGAAUUGAGAAUAAUUCCGCCUGCAGUGACUGAUGGAGCAGGAACAAGGCACUGCGGAUCUAGCAAGGGCCAGACACUCCUUACCGGUCCCAGGCCCCUGGAAAACUGUGAUUGAAGCCUGUCCUUCCAGGAAAAUGCGCCCACAGGAUUCCGGGGGUUUGAUCUCACUUCUCACCGGCCGCCUGAACCCAAGCACGGGUUACAAACUACAGAGCUGGGCUGAAGUGUUCCUUGCAACCCCCUGGAGCCCCGUAGAUGGGAUUCUGAGGGUUCUGCUGGGUUCCCCUCUUGUUUGCUGAGAGUUCUGGGGCCCAAGGACAGCAAGGGAGUCACGACUCGGUUGGGGGCCUUUUCCCCCCUGGGAGAAGCCUCAGUAUUUAAGUCCUAUGCAAGUGCGGCAUGGAAGUGGGUUCUCAGCUGUCGCUCAGGAGAGCGUCUUUCGAGGAUGAAGAGACCUGAGUUGUGCCAAGGGCGUCUAAACACUUGGCUGAUCUAACCUCCCCGGUGGCAAAGCCGGAGUCCGCCCCUGGGUGCCGGGCUUUGCGGGGAGGGGUUGUUAAGCAGUAGGCACAUCGGAGCAGUCAGGGUGCACGUUCUGGACUCUGCCCGGCUUUGAAGUCAGUACCUCUUGCUAGCCUUGUGACCUCGGGCAAAUUACUGGACGUCUCUGGGCCUGUUUUCUUAUUGGGAAAAAAAAAAUAGGGCCGUCCUUCAGACCUGCCUCGUUGGGCUGCCGGAAGUGGGGGGCGUUUACGCAGGUUCAGUGCCUGGUUCAGAAGGGUUGAAAAGGUGCUCAGAGCAUUCGUGCUGCCUUGUGCCCUCUAAGUGGGAGAGCCGGUGACUGAGACCCAGAAGGACCUCUGCUGCCCCGAAGAAUACACGGCCGUGGGGCGCCUGGGUGGCUCAGCCGGUUAAGCAUCCAGUUCUUGAUUUCAGCUCAGGUCAUGGCCUCACAGUUUGUGGGGUCAAGCCCCAUGUCAGGCUCUAUGCUGAGUGUGGAGUCUGCUUGGGAUUCUCUCUCUCUCCCCACCUCCCUCUCUCAAAAUAAAUAAACUUUGCCACAAAGGAUUCACAGCCACAACUGAAGCCGACAGAAAGGGCCCACGGCUGCUUUCCGGGGCAGCAGAAGCACCUGUGACAAAGUGGCUCUUCUCUUGAUUACUGGCAGGCCUCGGCGGAGUUCCUGAACACUGCGGGUUUCCCUAGGGACCUGGGUCCAGGAAAUGAUCUCUGAGAUGCCAAAGGGGCGCGUGCAGUCUCACUCCGCCCACCCUGGUCAGACUGGUCUUGGUCAGUGGAACCUGACGUGCCCUCUCCUGCUUCUCCAAGCCUUACUUUCUCUGUGAAGUCUGACGACCUCAGGCAGCAGAAAAUCUCUCCCAUCUGAGCUCUUGGGCCUGUCCUGCGUAAGUGAUUCACGCGGUCAGUUGCUAUGCCUGUUGCGUGGGUCUGCCUCGACGGCAGAUGUGUUGAGAGCAGAGACUGUCAUCAACUGCCCCAGCACUGCCCAUUAAAUACCCUGUUCCUUGCCCAACCCAGCAUCGGAGCAAAGAAUGCUUCCUGUAAUGUAUGCAGAUUAUCGUUCUCCCAAGAGGGUUCCACCCAGGCCAGUAUUUCCAUGUCCCGUGGCCAGCCCAGCAACUAGCCGAGUAGCUCAAAUCUGCUCACCUGCCAGCCCUGCCCCAGGGCAGGGCUGGGUCUGAGGAUGAAGGGGCGUGUCCCUGGGCUGGGGCAUCCCAGUCACCCUGAUUAUGACACUCUGAUUCCUAAUCUUCAUCUCCUGCUUGCUCUAGAAUCUCGGUCCUGACCUGGAGAGCAUUGUCUGCUUCCCUGGUGUGGCUCUGGAUUUCGGUGACCGUUUUCUGGAGAGAACCAACCUUUUGCUUCUCUCUGUAUCUUCCCCCAUCUCUGCACCCCUCCCCUUCCCUCACUUACAAAUCUCUUCCUUUCCUAGCUCGUAAUAUGGAUCGUAUUGAUUUCUCCUUUUCUUUUUCUUUGUUAAUUUCAUUUACUUAUUUUGAGAGGGAGUGAGAGAGCACAAGCUGGGGAGGGGCAGAGAGAGGGAGAGAGAGAUUCCCCAGCAGGUUCCGCACCGUCAGCGCAGAGCCCCACAUGGGGCUUGAUCUCACAAACCGUGAGAUCAUGAACUGAGCUGAAAUCAAGAGUUAGAGGCUUCACGAACUGAGCCACCCAUACUUGGCCUGCAUCAAUUAGGGAGAAGGUAGGUGAGGAGAAUCUGGACUGAAGUUUACAUAGAAUGAUACGAACAGAUAAAAGGUAGAGUCUAGUUGUGCUCAGGGGAGAUGUGUUCCCGUGGAGGUCUUCUUACAGAAUGUAGAAUAUUUUAGGGAUACUCAGACCUGGUGGGUCUUCUUGGGAAUAAAUUUACCCGAGAGCCCUCGGGUUAACACAGAACCCAACAAAGAAUAUUAUUGCCAUCCGUUUGGUCUUUGUGGACAAUCUGACACUCUGUGCCAGCUCUAAGAAAAAGCUCUAUAAACUAUUAAAAUGACAAAGAACUUCAGUCCUGCUAAAGAAAUAGAGUUUGGCUUAGCUAAAUGGAACACCAGACAAAUGCGAAGGACGGCUUGGGGUGAUGAAUGGAUUCACGGCAAUAAAGAUGAACUUAUAGAAGAUUAAUAGAAGGAGAGAUGGAUAAUAUCGGGGCUUCCAGCUGUUGAUGAAUGCUAAACUUAUUGACAUUGAAGAUAAGCCUAGAUAAAAGGCAUUCAGUCCAAAUGGAGAGAGAAUGCUUCAAAAGAAGCCUAAUGCUCGCAACUAAAUUAAGGCAGUAAAUAUAUCUGUGGUUCCAGCCCAUUUGUUAUGAUAGAGACUACAGAUCAUUAUAAUGAGAGGCAGAUUAUUAACCACAAAGGGCCCUGUGCAUCACAGGGAAUUUGAGCCACUCGCUCCCCCACGUCCCAGAAAAUCCACUUGGUCGAGAAGGAAGCCUUCUUCAUACACUAGUUGGAAACUAAGAUGAUUGAGAACGUCACGUGGGGGUGGUUUUAAACCCUCAAGAGGUGCGGUCUGUGUCCCCUCCCACCCAGUCUGGUUGGGCUUGGUUCUGCUUCGCCAACAGGGCAAGGCGGAGGAGUCCAUAUAGGUGAUCUUCUGGGGGCAGAUCAUCAAAGGCAUGCAGUUUCCUUCCGGCUCCGUUGGAAGGCUUGCCCUCCGGUGCUCCCUCUUGGGGUAGGCCUACCCAGAGCUUCCAGAUGAUGCCGGUGCAUAUCCAAGAGCAAACAAAAAUACGCCAGGUGACUUAGGAGGUUUUGCCUGCAAAGGGUUUACAGUCUCAGCAGAGAUCAGCGGGAUAUAAGCUGGACCAGAAGGUUGGGGUCUCACUGAAUUCCGGGCUGUACUCUGCCCUUCCUGGCUACGUGGGAAAGUGGUCGUCUCUGUGCCCGGUGUCCCUCCCCCCGUAAAGUCAAACAGUUGUGAAGAGUGAAUACACAUGAGGCAUUUAGAACAUGGUGAGUAUCCCAUAGAUGGCAGCCGUUGUUAAGGUUAUCGUGUCCCGGGACACACUCUGUGACGCAAAGCAGAGAAAGGGCUCCCGGACCUGCUCACAUCAUCAGGUGAUUUCUUUUUCAAGAAAAGCAGAUGUGUAUAAUGGAUUUGAUUAAUAGGCCCUAUAGUUUUAUAACCAAUUCACAGCCGCUUCCUUUAAAUCAGGGCUUUACAAUCUUUUUUGGACUAUGACCCACGCUAAGAAAUACAUUUCCCGUUGUGACCUGAUACACACAAGAAUCCCCCCCCCCCCAUCAAAGCAUAUAAACAUCUUCACUGGGCAACACACUCUGGUAUUUUCGAUUCUGUCCUAUUUCAUUUUUCAAAAUCUACUAAGUCGAUCCCCUAGCCCAUUAAAUGGGUCAAAAUCUACAACUUGAAAAGCGGUGCCUUCUGUAAACGACUUUUACAUGGCUUCCUCGCCCUAACCUUUUCACUGUUUUUCGCUUUGUCGCCCAGCUCUUCACUUUCUGGAAGUCUCGCUUGUCCAGGACGACCGGUCUACUGCCUCCCCGGCCUGAUGGGUGGCCACGAUGAAGCCGGACCCACCGGUCCCGGCACAGAAUGUAGCACGUGCCGGACAAGGAUUUUUGAACUGAGUUUAGAACAGGGAUUCUAACUCUGUUUUUCUGCUCAGGUUUUAAGUGGGCUAAGCACUUAGUUCUCAGAUGAUUUCUAGGUUGCUGGUAACGCACUGUAAGUGUCAGGGAGAAGAGACUUGGCUGGCAGCCCUUUCUCAGAUGUUCCAAGCAAACAUGCACACGGUUCUCAAACCUUAGCCUGGUCUCAAUGCCCAUCUUCCCUGAAAGCUGUUUUCGCUUUAUAACCACAGGACGUUUCAAAUCAAAUUCCAGAAAAUGCCUCGCAAUUAAAAUUUUACACUGCCUGUC
Long non-coding RNA from Neofelis nebulosa (Clouded leopard), 4693 nucleotides. RefSeq lists it as uncharacterized. NCBI's taxonomy places the organism in Eukaryota, Metazoa, Chordata, Mammalia, Carnivora, Felidae. The record is from RefSeq and is a predicted model, not a curated record. The transcript has 3 exons.